UUAAGUUGCAGGGUAUAGACCCGAAACCCGGUGAUCUAGCCAUGGGCAGGUUGAAGGUUGGGUAACACUAACUGGAGGACCGAACCGACUAAUGUUGAAAAAUUAGCGGAUGACCUGUGGCUGGGGGUGAAAGGCCAAUCAAACCGGGAGAUAGCUGGUUCUCCCCGAAAGCUAUUUAGGUAGCGCCUCGUGAAUUCAUCUCCGGGGGUAGAGCACUGUUUCGGCUAGGGGGCCAUCCCGGCUUACCAACCCGAUGCAAACUGCGAAUACCGGAGAAUGUUAUCACGGGAGACACACGGCGGGUGCUAACGUCCGUCGUGAAGAGGGAAACAACCCAGACCGCCAGCUAAGGUCCCAAAGUCAUGGUUAAGUGGGAAACGAUGUGGGAAGGCCCAGACAGCCAGGAUGUUGGCUUAGAAGCAGCCAUCAUUUAAAGAAAGCGUAAUAGCUCACUGGUCGAGUCGGCCUGCGCGGAAGAUGUAACGGGGCUAAACCAUG
RNAcentral lists this ribosomal RNA (498 nucleotides) under Salmonella enterica subsp. enterica serovar Oranienburg. RNAcentral describes it as "partial 23S ribosomal RNA". It matches the Rfam family "Bacterial large subunit ribosomal RNA", at positions 695 to 1191 of the family's 2925-position model. RNAcentral also lists the same sequence under 4 other names. The record is from RNAcentral. Lineage: Bacteria; Pseudomonadati; Pseudomonadota; Gammaproteobacteria; Enterobacterales; Enterobacteriaceae.